CUGAGCCCAGGCUCGAAGCUGUUCACAGAAAACUUCACCAGAGUGAAAAUCAGUAUCAGAAGUAAGAGGAGCAUCGCUAAAGCUCCGUUCCAUGAUUGGCCAGUAUGCAUCACCAGCCUUUAUUUCACAUAAACUUAUGAGAUCCGCCAAGCAGCGGAGUAUGUUUUGCGGAUCUGAGCCAUCCGGCGGAAAAAGGGCAUGGGGUGCUUCUCAGGAUCAGGGAGUGAAGUCACAAGGGUAGCAGCUUGGGAAGGGUUAAAGGUUACAUACAUGGGUGGUGCACCAUCCGCGCCAUGGUUAAUCUGGGUAUACCCCUGGGGGAUGGAGCGCCGUUGUGGUGGUCUGCUCCCCCCUAAGUGAGGUGAGCCCUGG
This is a non-coding RNA of Pelobates cultripes (western spadefoot toad), 372 nucleotides long. The record is from the annotation of a GenBank genome assembly. NCBI's taxonomy places the organism in Eukaryota, Metazoa, Chordata, Amphibia, Anura, Pelobatidae.